GAUGAAGAACGUAGUGAAAUGCGAUAAGUAAUGUGAAUUGCAGAAUUCAGUGAAUCAUCGAAUCUUUGAACGCACAUUGCGCCCCCUGGUAUUCCGGGGGGCAUGCCUGUCCGAGCGUCAUUACAACCCUCAAGCUCAGCUUGGUGUUGGGCCCCGCCGCCCCGGCGGGCCCUAAAGUCAGUGGCGGUGCCGUCCGGCUCCGAGCGUAGUAAUUCUUCUCGCUCUGGAGGCCCGGUCGUGUGCUCGCCAGCAACCCCCAAUUUUUUUCAGGUUGACCUCGGAUCAGGUAGGGAUACCCGCUGAACUUAAGCAUAUCAAUAAGCGGAGGA
This 329-nucleotide unclassified non-coding RNA is filed under the name soil metagenome. RNAcentral describes it as "partial contains 5.8S ribosomal RNA, internal transcribed spacer 2, and large subunit ribosomal RNA". The stretch from base 1 to 120 matches the Rfam family "5.8S ribosomal RNA", at positions 35 to 154 of the family's 154-position model. The record is from RNAcentral.